Molecule: ribosomal RNA, 1354 nt
Filed under: Salmonella enterica subsp. enterica serovar Typhimurium
Lineage: Bacteria; Pseudomonadati; Pseudomonadota; Gammaproteobacteria; Enterobacterales; Enterobacteriaceae
Description: partial 23S ribosomal RNA
Rfam family: Bacterial large subunit ribosomal RNA
Source: RNAcentral
GCUGUGAGCUCGAUGAGUAGGGCGGGACACGUGGUAUCCUGUCUGAAUAUGGGGGGACCAUCCUCCAAGGCUAAAUACUCCUGACUGACCGAUAGUGAACCAGUACCGUGAGGGAAAGGCGAAAAGAACCCCGGCGAGGGGAGUGAAAAAGAACCUGAAACCGUGUACGUACAAGCAGUGGGAGCCCCACCACUAAGCCAGUGGUGAACUCCACAUCCGCAUCCUUUGCUGAGGAUACGGUUAACGGAGCGAAAGCGACGUUCAACCGCAAAACAAGCAGAGGGGGCUUAGUGGUGGGGUGACUGCGUACCUUUUGUAUAAUGGGUCAGCGACUUAUAUUCUGUAGCAAGGUUAACCGAAUAGGGGAGCCGGAGGGAAACCGAGUCUUAAUUGGGCGUUAAGUUGCAGGGUAUAGACCCGAAACCCGGUGAUCUAGCCAUGGGCAGGUUGAAGGUUGGGUAACACUAACUGGAGGACCGAACCGACUAAUGUUGAAAAAUUAGCGGAUGACCUGUGGCUGGGGGUGAAAGGCCAAUCAAACCGGGAGAUAGCUGGUUCUCCCCGAAAGCUAUUUAGGUAGCGCCUCGUGAAUUCAUCUCCGGGGGUAGAGCACUGUUUCGGCUAGGGGGCCAUCCCGGCUUACCAACCCGAUGCAAACUGCGAAUACCGGAGAAUGUUAUCACGGGAGACACACGGCGGGUGCUAACGUCCGUCGUGAAGAGGGAAACAACCCAGACCGCCAGCUAAGGUCCCAAAGUCAUGGUUAAGUGGGAAACGAUGUGGGAAGGCCCAGACAGCCAGGAUGUUGGCUUAGAAGCAGCCAUCAUUUAAAGAAAGCGUAAUAGCUCACUGGUCGAGUCGGCCUGCGCGGAAGAUGUAACGGGGCUAAACCAUGCACCGAAGCUGCGGCAGCGAACGUAUCACCCAAGACAACUUUACGGAGUUGACGAUUGACGGAGCGAAGCGACGUCAAAGCGUUCAUUAAAGUCGAGUUGGCUUAGGGAUACGUUCGUUGGGUAGGGGAGCGUUCUGUAAGCCUGUGAAGGUGUGUCGUGAGGCAUGCUGGAGGUAUCAGAAGUGCGAAUGCUGACAUAAGUAACGAUAAAGCGGGUGAAAAGCCCGCUCGCCGGAAGACCAAGGGUUCCUGUCCAACGUUAAUCGGGGCAGGGUGAGUCGACCCCUAAGGCGAGGCCGAAAGGCGUAGUCGAUGGGAAACGGGUUAAUAUUCCCGUACUUGGUGUUACUGCGAAGGGGGGACGGAGAAGGCUAUGUUGGCCGGGCGACGGUUGUCCCGGUUUAAGCGUGUAGGUGUGUGUUCCAGGUAAAUCCGGUUCACUUUAACACUGAGGCGUGA